This 23-nucleotide small nuclear RNA is filed under the name Arabidopsis thaliana (thale cress). RNAcentral's name for it is "snRNA_01426". Lineage: Eukaryota; Viridiplantae; Streptophyta; Magnoliopsida; Brassicales; Brassicaceae. The record is from RNAcentral.
GAGUUGUAAAGCAACAGUGUCGA